GAUGAACGCUGGCGGCGUGCCUAAUACAUGCAAGUCGAGCGAGCAGACGAGGAGCUUGCUCCUUUGACGUUAGCGGCGGACGGGUGAGUAACACGUGGGUAACCUACCUAUAAGACUGGGAUAACUUCGGGAAACCGGAGCUAAUACCGGAUAAUAUUUCGAACCGCAUGGUUCGAUAGUGAAAGAUGGCUCUGCUAUCACUUAUAGAUGGACCUGCGCCGUAUUAGCUAGUUGGUAAGGUAACGGCUUACCAAGGCAACGAUACGUAGCCGACCUGAGAGGGUGAUCGGCCACACUGGAACUGAGACACGGUCCAGACUCCUACGGGAGGCAGCAGUAGGGAAUCUUCCGCAAUGGGCGAAAGCCUGACGGAGCAACGCCGCGUGAGUGAUGAAGGUCUUCGGAUCGUAAAACUCUGUUAUUAGGGAAGAACAAACGUGUAAGUAACUGUGCACGUCUUGACGGUACCUAAUCAGAAAGCCACGGCUAACUACGUG
This 497-nucleotide ribosomal RNA is filed under the name uncultured bacterium. RNAcentral's name for it is "partial 16S ribosomal RNA". It matches the Rfam family "Bacterial small subunit ribosomal RNA", at positions 28 to 507 of the family's 1533-position model. The record is from RNAcentral.